Pseudomonas lutea is the source of this 84-nucleotide non-coding RNA. The record is from Rfam. Lineage: Bacteria; Pseudomonadati; Pseudomonadota; Gammaproteobacteria; Pseudomonadales; Pseudomonadaceae.
UCAUAAGUCGCUGCAUGACAAUCGUCGGCAGCGGCAAGCCUCGUUUAUCCCGUAUGGCUGACGAGGUUUCACCAGAAAAAGGAA